GGCUUCGUAGCUCAGCUGGCAGAGCGCUUGCCGCGUUGAGGCAUGACGUUUCUGUCACUGAUUCGAAUUCAGCCGAAGCCC
Molecule: transfer RNA, 81 nt
Filed under: Paragonimus heterotremus
Lineage: Eukaryota; Metazoa; Platyhelminthes; Trematoda; Plagiorchiida; Troglotrematidae
Description: tRNA-Asn
Source: RNAcentral